UAGCAGCACACAAAACUAUC
Molecule: microRNA, 20 nt
Filed under: Ciona intestinalis (vase tunicate)
Lineage: Eukaryota; Metazoa; Chordata; Ascidiacea; Phlebobranchia; Cionidae
Description: cin-miR-15-5p
Gene: cin-miR-15-5p
Source: miRBase by way of RNAcentral